Long non-coding RNA from Physella acuta, 461 nucleotides. RefSeq lists it as uncharacterized. The record is from RefSeq and is a predicted model, not a curated record. NCBI's taxonomy places the organism in Eukaryota, Metazoa, Mollusca, Gastropoda, Physidae.
UGAAUGAAAUAAGACUGAAGCUUUUAGACUAUGAAUGGUGCAGAGGCUUCACAUAUUCAUUGACUCUCAUGUAAUGUAACAACUAGCUGAAGACCGGCUGUGCUGUUCAUCACCUUCCUACAGCAGAAAAUCAUGGAGAGCCCAGUUCCACCACCAGUUUCUAAAGAUACUUUAGAAAACAGCAUGCUCAUCCCUGUAUCACAACAUCCAGAAUAUGAAAGCACACAAACUCAGUCGGACAUGAACUUUGAUAAGGUUAAACUACAGCAGCCAAAAAAACAAGAUCAUGGACAAAGAGAUGCAGCAGAGUUAUGUGACACCUGCAUGCGCUGUCAAGAUGGUUGUUUUAUCCCUUUUUUAUGUUGUUGUAUUUGUUUGCUUGAAAGCAGGUGAUGGUUAUCAGAGAAAUUUAACAGUAUGACAGCUAGACUCACUGAUACAAAUAAACAGACUUGAUGUGA